Molecule: ribosomal RNA, 371 nt
Filed under: uncultured eukaryote
Lineage: Eukaryota
Description: SSU rRNA
Rfam family: Eukaryotic small subunit ribosomal RNA
Source: RNAcentral
AGCUCCAAUAGCGUAUAUUAAAGUUGUUGCAGUUAAAAAGCUCGUAGUUGAAAUUCUGGAACCCUGAACCUGAAGCAACAAUUGCCUCGGUUCAGUGUUUCAUACUCACAAAGAUGUUCUUGCCCAUUAAUUUGUGCUUGGACGGAGUUGUGUCGUUUACUGUGAACAAAUUAGGGUGUUCAAAGCAGGCCUUCGUUUGGAUACAUUAGCAUGGAAUAAUGAGAUAUAACUUUGGUUGUAUUUUGUUGGUGACCACCAAAGUAAUGAUUGACAGAAACUGUUGUGGGUAUUCGUAUGAGCAUGUCAGAGGUGAAAUUCUUGGAUUUUGAUCAGACGAACUACUGCGAAAGCAUUUACCAAGGAUGUUUUCA